UAGGAGGUGGUGUAGGGGAAACACGAAGAGCUUUGAUCUCUUAGGCGGGGGUUCAAGUCCCCCUCUUCUAU
This 71-nucleotide transfer RNA is filed under the name Lampris guttatus (North Atlantic opah). RNAcentral describes it as "tRNA-Gln". It matches the Rfam family "tRNA". From Rfam's summary of the family: Transfer RNA (tRNA) molecules are approximately 80 nucleotides in length. Lineage: Eukaryota; Metazoa; Chordata; Actinopteri; Lampriformes; Lampridae. The record is from RNAcentral.